RNAcentral lists this ribosomal RNA (463 nucleotides) under uncultured bacterium. Its description in RNAcentral is "partial 16S ribosomal RNA". It matches the Rfam family "Bacterial small subunit ribosomal RNA", at positions 28 to 507 of the family's 1533-position model. The record is from RNAcentral.
GAUGAACGCUGACAGAAUGCUUAACACAUGCAAGUCUUUGGCGAAUCUGUGCUUGCACAGGCUAGCCAAGGCGGACGGGUGAGUAACGCGUAAAGAACUUGCCCUGCAGACAGGGAUAACAGACGGAAACGACUGAUAACACCUGAUACAGUUGCCGGCACGCAUGUGCCUGGCAAUGAAAAGAGAUGCUGCAGGAGAGCUUUGCGUCCUAUUAGCUUGUUGGUGAGGUGACGGCUCACCAAGGCGAUGAUAGGUAGCCGGCCUGAGAGGGUGAACGGCCACAAGGGGACUGAGAUACGGCCCUUACUCCUACGGGAGGCAGCAGUGGGGAAUAUUGGACAAUGGGGGCAACCCUGAUCCAGCAAUUCUGUGUGCACGAAGAAGGUUUUCGGAUUGUAAAGUGCUUUCGGCAGGGAAGAAGAAAGUGACGGUACCUGCAGAAGAAGCGACGGCUAAAUACGUG